UGGGAUGUAGCCAAGCGGUAAGGCAAGGGACUUUGACUCCCUCAUUGCGCUGGUUCGAGUCCAGCCAUCCCAGCCA
This 76-nucleotide transfer RNA is filed under the name Erysipelotrichaceae bacterium. RNAcentral's name for it is "tRNA-Gln". It matches the Rfam family "tRNA". From Rfam's summary of the family: Transfer RNA (tRNA) molecules are approximately 80 nucleotides in length. Their secondary structure includes four short double-helical elements and three loops (D, anti-codon, and T loops). Further hydrogen bonds mediate the characteristic L-shaped molecular structure. tRNAs have two regions of fundamental functional importance: the anti-codon, which is responsible for specific mRNA codon recognition, and the 3' end, to which the tRNAs corresponding amino acid is attached (by aminoacyl-tRNA synthetases). tRNAs cope with the degeneracy of the genetic code in two manners: having more than one tRNA (with a specific anti-codon) for a particular amino acid; and 'wobble' base-pairing, i.e. permitting non-standard base-pairing at the 3rd anti-codon position. The record is from RNAcentral. Lineage: Bacteria; Bacillati; Bacillota; Erysipelotrichia; Erysipelotrichales; Erysipelotrichaceae.